AGAGUUUGAUCCUGGCUCAGGAUGAACGCUGGCGGCGUGCUUAACACAUGCAAGUCGAACGGAGCACUUAAGAUUGACUCUUCGGAUGAUUUCUUUUGCGACUUAGUGGCGGACGGGUGAGUAACGCGUGGGUAACCUGCCUCACACAGGGGGAUAACAGUUAGAAAUGACUGCUAAUACCGCAUAACCCGAUAGGAUCGCAUGAUCCAGACGGAAAAGAUUUAUCGGUGUGAGAUGGACCCGCGUCUGAUUAGCUAGUUGGUGAGGUAACGGCCACCAAGGCGACGAUCAGUAGCCGGCCUGAGAGGGUGAACGGCCACAUUGGGACUGAGACACGGCCCAAAUCCUACGGGAGCA
RNAcentral lists this ribosomal RNA (357 nucleotides) under uncultured bacterium. Its description in RNAcentral is "bacterial SSU rRNA". It matches the Rfam family "Bacterial small subunit ribosomal RNA", at positions 8 to 350 of the family's 1533-position model. The record is from RNAcentral.